AUAAACGCAUAGAUGUAUGAUGUAACGAUAAAUGAUGUCA
Molecule: non-coding RNA, 40 nt
Filed under: Trypanosoma brucei brucei
Lineage: Eukaryota; Euglenozoa; Kinetoplastea; Trypanosomatida; Trypanosomatidae
Source: RNAcentral